Cajanus cajan (pigeon pea) is the source of this 181-nucleotide non-coding RNA. The record is from RefSeq and is a predicted model, not a curated record. NCBI's taxonomy places the organism in Eukaryota, Viridiplantae, Streptophyta, Magnoliopsida, Fabales, Fabaceae.
GAAAAAGUCAGUGCAACUCUCAGUGUCGGUGAAUCCACGUUGCGAGAGAGAAAUGUGGGUGUUUUACCUGAUCUCGCUGCCUCUUAGAUGAGCAUGUUGCUUUUCACGUUGAGGGACAGGGUUUGGGGACAGGAGUUGGAGACAGAGGAUUUUGAUAUGUGGCAGAAACCACCUAAAAUGG